RNAcentral lists this small RNA (177 nucleotides) under Paenibacillus sp. RNAcentral describes it as "c-di-AMP sequence". It matches the Rfam family "c-di-AMP riboswitch aptamer (ydaO/yuaA leader)". Rfam says of the family: This family represents a conserved RNA structure found upstream of the ydaO and yuaA genes in Bacillus subtilis and related genes in other bacteria. The ydaO/yuaA element is thought to act as a genetic "off" switch for the ydaO and yuaA genes in its native state. The record is from RNAcentral. RNAcentral also lists the same sequence under 1 other name. Lineage: Bacteria; Bacillati; Bacillota; Bacilli; Caryophanales; Paenibacillaceae.
UAAACAAUAACGCUUAAUUUCUCCUUCCAGGGAGAAAACGGGGGAACCAACGCGAACCGGUCGCAUGGCUGCAUGGACCGCACGCAGGGGGUGAAUCCGGGGAUUUGUGCCCCCGGUAGGGUUUUCUCUCUAACCCGAAUCCGACAGCUAACCUCGUCAGCGGAAGAAGGAGAGAUG